GCAAACUUGGUCAUUUAGAGGAAGUAAAAGUCGUAACAAGGUUUCCGUAGGUAAGUUGAAGCUCGUGUCACUUGCUGUUUCUAUGCUUGAAUUACCUGCUAACUUUUCUCUUCUAGGUGAACCUGCGGAAGGAUCAUUACCGAGCGUGACCCACCCCGUAAAAAAGGGGGGUACCUCCCGUCCUUUGCAGGCCCCCCUUUCGGGGGGGCUUUUUAAGACUUCUGCUUCGGCGGGGUUACUCCCGCCGGAACACCCUCAAAAACUCUUCAAAAAACCGUUCAGUCCGAGAACUUUUGACAAAUAUAAAAAAAACUUUCAACAACGGAUCUCUUGGUUCUGGCAUCGAUGAAGAACGCAGC
RNAcentral lists this unclassified non-coding RNA (359 nucleotides) under uncultured fungus. RNAcentral's name for it is "partial contains small subunit ribosomal RNA, internal transcribed spacer 1, and 5.8S ribosomal RNA". The stretch from base 1 to 139 matches the Rfam family "Eukaryotic small subunit ribosomal RNA", at positions 1759 to 1831 of the family's 1831-position model. The record is from RNAcentral. Lineage: Eukaryota; Fungi.